AUGGCGCUCCUACCACGGCUGUUCCUGUUCGGAGUUUGCGCCGUAGCGCUGGCGAUCGGCCUCGCGAACGCUGUGCACGGCGAGGCGGCGCCGGUCGUGGUCGGCCUGGCCAGGUGCUCGGACUGCACAAGGAAGAACAUGAACGCCGAGGCAGCUUUCAAAGGUCUCCAAGUUGCUGUCAAGUGUAAGAAUGGCAAGGGCGAGUACGAGAGCAAGUCCGUGGGGCCUGUGGACAAAUCCGGCGCCUUCAGCGUCCCCCUGGACGUCGGCCUCGUCGGGGACGGCGGCGAGCUGAAGCAGGACUGCUUCGCGCAGCUCCACAGCGCGUCUGGCGCGCCGUGCCCCGGGCAGGAGCCCUCCAAGAUCGUCGCGGCACGGCCCGGCCGCGACGGCCAGACGACCUUCGUCGCGCUCGCCGGCGAGGUGCACCAACCUUCAGCUGAGUGCGCAUCCGCGUUCCUGUGCCAUCCUCUGCACAAGCACCACCUGUUCGUCUUCCACAAGCCCGUGACUGUCCCUCCCAAGCACGAUCAUGACCAUGACCACGACCACGACCAUGAUCACGACCACGACCACGAUCACGAUCAUGGCCACGAUCACGAUCACGAUCUCGCGCCUGCAGUCAAGCCGCCAACGACGCCGGUGUACACGCCGACGGCGCCAACCCCGACGCCGAUCUACCACCCCCGGGCCCAGCGUGACGCCGUCACUGAGCCACAACUCUUCAAGAAGAUGCUCCCGUUCCUCAAGAAGCUGCCGUUCUUUCCUCCUGCCAAGCAGAGCGGCGGCAAGCCGUAG
RNAcentral lists this ribosomal RNA (798 nucleotides) under Triticum aestivum (bread wheat). RNAcentral's name for it is "partial small subunit ribosomal RNA". The record is from RNAcentral. Lineage: Eukaryota; Viridiplantae; Streptophyta; Magnoliopsida; Poales; Poaceae.